This 389-nucleotide ribosomal RNA is filed under the name uncultured bacterium. Its description in RNAcentral is "bacterial SSU rRNA". It matches the Rfam family "Bacterial small subunit ribosomal RNA", at positions 30 to 418 of the family's 1533-position model. The record is from RNAcentral.
AUUGAACGCUGGCGGCAUGCCUUACACAUGCAAGUCGAACGGUAACGGGCCUUCGGGUGCCGACGAGUGGCGAACGGGUGAGUAAUGCAUCGGAACGUACCUUUCAGUGGGGGGAUAACGUAGCGAAAGUUACGCUAAUACCGCAUAUUCUGUGAGCAGGAAAGCAGGGGAUCGCAAGACCUUGCGCUGAUUGAGCGGCCGAUGUCAGAUUAGCUAGUUGGUGAGGUAAAGGCUCACCAAGGCGACGAUCUGUAGCGGGGUCUGAGAGGAUGAUCCGCCACACUGGAACUGAGACACGGUCCAGACUCCUACGGGAGGCAGCAGUGGGGGAAUUUUGGACAAUGGGGGCAACCCUGAUCCAGCCAUGCCGCGUGAGUGAAGAAGGCCUU